AUGGGGAUUAGUAUGAAAAUUUGC
Molecule: microRNA, 24 nt
Filed under: Solanum tuberosum (potato)
Lineage: Eukaryota; Viridiplantae; Streptophyta; Magnoliopsida; Solanales; Solanaceae
Description: stu-miR8001b-5p
Source: miRBase by way of RNAcentral